This is a long non-coding RNA of Macaca fascicularis (crab-eating macaque), 5904 nucleotides long. The record is from Ensembl. NCBI's taxonomy places the organism in Eukaryota, Metazoa, Chordata, Mammalia, Primates, Cercopithecidae.
UUUUUUUUUUUUGAGAUAGGGUCUCCUUCUGUCACCCAGGCUGGAGUGCAGUGGUGUGAUCAUGGCUCACUGCAGCCUUGACCUCCAGGGCUCAAUAGAUCCACUAGCCUGAGCUCCUUGAGUAGCUGCACAACUGGGCCUAUAGGUGCCCGGCUAAUUUUAGGUUUUGUUUUGUUGUGCUGUGUUGUAGAGACUGGGUUUCGCCAUGUUGCCUAGACUGGUCUCAAACUUCUGGGUUCACGUACUUCACCCGCCUUGGCCUCCCAAAUUCUGGAAUGAUAGAUGUAAGCCACUGUGUCCAGCCAACAGUUUACAUGAGGGAAGGAUGGAGAGAGGGAGGAAGGAAAGAGGGAAGGAGGCAAGGAACGAAGGAAGAGAUGGGUUGGUCAAUGAAAGUUAUUACAAGAGACAAAGAAGGACAUUAUGUAUUGAUACAUAAGUUACUUCAUCAGGAAGAUUUAACAGUUAGUACAUGUGCAUCUAACUAUAGAGCCCCCAAGUACAGGAAGUCAAGACUUAUGUAACUGAAGAAACAGAAAGCUUCGCAGUAAUAGCUGCAAUACUAUAUGGUCAAUACUAGCUAGAACAAUGAAACAAAAGAUCAAUAAAGAAGUAGAGGACUUGAAAAACUGUAAAUCAGCUAGACCUGACAACAUUUACAACAGAGUCACAGAAUACAGAUUCUUCUCAAGCACAAAUGGAACGUUCUCUGGACUAUACCAUGUAUUAGGUCAUGAAACAAAUCUCACUAAUUUAAAAGCACUAAAAUCAAAGUAUCUUCUCUGCAAUAGAGUGAAGGUAGAAAUCAGUAACAAAGGAAAUCUGAAUUCAGGAAUACAUAAAAAUUAAACACACUCCUAACAAUCAAUGAAUCAAAGCAGAAAUUACAAGUGAUGUUUGAAAAUUCUGUGAGAUAAAUGAAAAUGAAAACAAAACUUACCAAACUUGUAGGAAGCUGUGAGGCCAGUGCUCAGAGGAAAAUGUAGAGCGGGGAGGCCACGGUGGGAAGAUGGCCUGAGGCCAGGAGCUUAAACCAGCCUGGGCGACAAAAUGAGACCCCAUUUGCACAAAUAAAAAUAAAAACAAACAGGUGGGUUGCAUGUACCUGUGGUCCCAACAACUUGCAGAGCUGAGGUGGGAGGGUCCUUGAGUCCAGCAGAUCAAGGCUGCAGUGAGCUGUGGUCGUGUCACUGCACUCCAGCCUGAAUGCGAGACCCUGUCAAAGGGGAAGGGGAAGGGGAAGGGGAAGGAGACAACCUUUGAACUGCAGCCCUGAGGUUGGACCUGGGGACAACUGGCCUCACAGGGAAGAGAAGUGCUAGAUGGAAACAGACUUGCAGAAAAGGGAGAAAGGAGAUGAAGGCAAACAGGGAGAAAUGACUAGGACUCACUAGGAAGGACUAUGUGUGGAGCAAAAAUGAUGUAAUGGGAUAAUAAAGGGACAGUUUCUAUCUCCUACAAAGCAGCAGUGCCCCCUGAGAGCUCCGGCGAGAGGACAGGCUGUGGGUUCCUGGGAUUUCAGACAUUUGGAGCAGGAAUGCAGGGAUGUAAGAUGAUGUGUUUUCCAGUCCCCUGGCCAGCAAUGAUGCGUCUCAGUUAUGAAUGUCCCCCAUGGAAAGUCCUAGAGUCUUCCUGAGUUAACUUAUCCUCUCAGUUCCUCCUCCCUAGAUCUCUUUAGAAUUAUUUCCUGGGUUAGGGUUUCCUGAGAGUGGAGGAGAAGGAACUAUGAACGCCCCCUCCUUCCUCCCUCACAUGGUUGAAAGUCUGGCCAAGGCCAAUUCAUUAAGGGACGGGGGACCUUUCCUAUCUCCUCAGGGGCAGCCUCCUGACUUGGUCUGACCCCCAGGUUUAACCGGAACACACUAGAACUUUCCACACCAUCUGCACAUGGAAAAUGUGUCUGUUAAUUGACUUAUGAAGCCACCUAGAAAGUAUAAACAAGCAAUGCACAUAUACAUUCUAUAACCUAAUGUGUUUGUUUAAUAUUAAGAUAUAUUUGUUAGAGGCAACUAGGUGGAAAGGUAAACUUUUCCAACACUUAGACCUUAAGUCAGCAGCUUAUGCAGCAGUGAUUGCUCGGGUGACUCUGAGUAACCUGUUCUACCUCUAAAGCCGACGUUUCUGGUUAGGCUAAAUGGAGGAAAUAAAUAUUCUCCAAACAUUUCAUUAAGAUUCACUGGGAAACAGUACCCUGAGUGCUUAGAGUUGCACUCUUCACACAGAAGACAGAGUAAGGGUUAGGGAACCUUCUCAGGGGAUGAAUACACACAAAUUUUCACCACAGCAAUCAGGUGUUUAUAUUAGGAAUCUGAUUCCAGCCUCUCGAGAAGCUGGACAAUCCAAAAUCAAUCUCAUUAAACUAUUUCAUCUACCCAUAGGAGGAGCUCCAGUUCGUAUAAAACUGCCAGCCCUUCCUUCUCUCCUCCUCCUCACCCUCCACACACAGGACAGGGCUGGGCACACAGAGGAAGGACACUGAGGACCUGGGUGGUUGGGAGACACUGGCUUUCCUCUCUUCUCACCCAUGGUGGGCUCCGUUUAUCCUCAUCUUUUCUUCCCCAGUUAGGGUUCCCUGGGAGCCUGUGAGUUGUCUGGGGACUUCAUCAACAUCUGCACAAAUGCCCCAGACUCUGCUCACCACUCUUUCAAAGGGGCUCCUCUCUCUGAACCGGCAAUGUCUGUGUGAUUGGGAGGUGUCACCUCCAGGUCCUGAAACCACAGCACCCGGAGGGUCUCUGGCCCCAGUCUGAGGUUCCUCUAUGAGUUUUGGAGAUGAACGAAGCCUCUGCUUUAACAGGAAUAGAUCCUGUUUAUCAAAGCAUGUAAAGGCCAGACAUUCUAUGUUAGGGGUCCUGAAGAGUUGUUUCAGAGUGGAUGAACGACUGUCACCUCCUCAGUGGCCCUGCCACUCUAACAGAUGGGUAGUCACUUGUCAUGUCUUGUUCACUUGGACUUCAACAAUGACUAAAAAUACAAAAAAUUAGCUGGGCAUAGUGGUGGGCGCCUGUAAUCCCAGCUACUUAGGAGGCUGAGGCAGGAGAAUGGCAUGAACCCGGAAGGCAGAGCUUGCAGUGAGCCGAGAUCACACCACUGCACUCCAGCCUGGGUGACAGAGCAAGACUCUGUCUCAAAAAAAUAAAAAAAUAAAACAUUCUAUUUGAUUUGAAAUGGAAAUAACAAAAAGUACAAUUACUAUAAUUUCAACUACUAAUUAAGCAAACACAGAAGAAAUCUAUGACAUGAAAAGAAUCAUCUACAUACAGUAUCACCUUCCUCCUGAUUUUAAUGUGAACCACCAACUGUUUUAAGACGAGCUCUAAUUUAACUGAACAAGAGAUCACUGGCAAGGUUAUUGAAUUACCAAUAUUUUCCACUGUGAUUCAUUUUAAUGUAUAAUUGAUUUUACCAUGAAUGUAAAAAGUGUUUUUCUCCUUUAUAUAUUUUAAUAAUAAAUUGAAUUUUUAAGAAAUGCCGCCAGGCGCGGUGGCUCACGCCUGCAAUCCCAGCACUUUGGGAGGCCAAGGCAGGCAGAUCAGCUGAGGUCAAGAGUUCAAGAUCAGCCUGGCCAACAUGGUGAAACCUCAUCUCUACUAAAAAUACAAAAAAAAUUAGCCAGGUGUGGUGGCACACACCUGUGGUCCCAGCUACUCAGGGAGGUUGAGGCAGGAGAAUCACUUGAACACAGGAGGCAGAGGUUCCAGUGAUUACACCACUGCACUCCAACCUGGGUGACAGCGGGAGACUCCGCCUCAAAAAAAAAGCAUCAUCCUGCUUUGAUAAGAGAUGGAAGUCUGUUCUUAAGGAUUUCUAAGAGUGAGAAUCUUAUUGUCUUAUGUAAAACUCCACUGGGACAAGCAUCAGAAUCAAGGAGUGACCUUCUCAAACCCCUGGACUCUUUUUGCCUAUGUGAACUAAAGGAUGAUAAGCAGCUGUCAUUUUAACCCCCACAGUGACAGUUUCCUCACAACUGAAUUCUAAUCUUGAGCACUGCACUUCCCAGAAUGUUCUGGACAAGGCCUGGUACCGUCCCCGCUGCAGUCCCUGGAGGGAGAGCAGGGUGUCUCCUUGGGGCUGACGUGGAGUCUCUGGGGCACAAGGGAGCUCCUGCGGGGAGGAUGACAGAUCUGUUCACUUGCGGACUGGACACAAUUCCUUCCUGUAGGCUGCCCUCUGGAUGUGAAUUCUAGAUCCACAGGUAAUUAACAGCAGACAUUCCUCUAAGAUUAUGUCUGUCUGUAGUUGUGUUGGUUUGAAAAGUGUUUUGGUCAUUUGAGUCUUCAUACUUGGCAAACAAACAAAAAUAAACUGGAAAAAAAUUCUGAAUUUGUAAAGCGGUAUCAGUGGUGCAGAUACAUUCUAACAUCAACAAAGUAAGAGACGGGCCAGCAUCUGGGGGGCCAGCAGGUUUUGUCCUACUUCCCCGCCUGCCUGUGUCGCUGUGAGAAGCAUCGCUGGUCCAGGCAUACAGUAAUAGCCUUGUCCUCAAGCUGGGGCCCAGAGAUGUGAAGAAUCCCUGCGUUUUCAGGGGCAUCUUUGGUUCCAAAGAAACAGCUGGGGACGCUGGAGCCUUUGUGUUUAUUUGAAUGUGAGAGGUAGCUCAGGAGAUGCUGGGGAGGGCUCCCUGGCUUCUGCCAUCUCCAGCGUGUCCCACGGUCACCAACACUGAAGCCACUGCUCAGGGUGCAGGGGAGUCUGGCAGAUGCUCCCGGGGUUGCAGAGAGGGAGGGCAGCCGAGUCAGCACAGGCUGGAGAGGGAACCUGCAGACACAGACAGUCGCUGGGCUGGGUCAAGGACCAGGGUAAAGAUUCUCAGGGCCAGAUCCAGAAGAGAUGAAAACAGACUGGGGGCUGCCCUGGGUCUCUGAGGCCUGUCCCUACCUGUGCAGAGAGAAAGGGACAUGAGGAGGAGAGGAAUCCAGGCCGUGGUGGACACAGCCCCUGACGCUCACAAUGGGGCUGGGCUGUCCCAGGCUUGUCUAAUUUCCCUCCUGCCCCCAGGGAAAAGAAGGGGCUGUUCAUGCAAAUUCACUCUCCCCCUCCUGGAUCCCUCAGACCCUGCUUGUUCAGUGAUUCAGGAGCCUGAGAGGGGACCUCAGGACAGAGGAGGCUGAGGGAGGGGCUGCUCUGAGUGCAGGCCCAGCAGCAUUGUGCAGGGAGCAGCUGUUGGGAACACACACAGGACCCUGCCAGGCCUUGAGAGCACAAGGACAUUGGGUCACAUUCUGAGCACAGGGGAUAACUCUGACUCUGCCAGCUGGAAGCCAGUGGGGCUCACCCAGUUGUGAGCAAUCCCCAGACAGGGCCUGGGACAGGGCACGGCACUCCUUACUGGUCACAGGUCCAACUUCAGUGUACUCAGGGUCCGGGUACUUAAUGCCCCAGGACUUGGCACCAUCAUUCAACACACAGUCCCCCAGGUCUCUGUGUGAGCAGUAUGCUCAGGUUUCACUUCACAAACAUGGAUGCACUCUCUGUGAUUUCAGAGGCUUGCAACACAGAGGGAGAACUUCUCACUCCAUAGACAAUCCUGUGAAUAUUAGGGGCUCAACAAAACACAAAACAUUGGGGCUCUCUGGCCUGGUGAGGUGGCUCCCAACACUUUGGGAGGCCAAAGUGGGUGGAUCACCUGAGGUCAGGAGUUCGAGACCACCCUGACAUACAUGGGGAAACCCAUCUCUACUAAAUACAAAAAAAAUAAUAAUAAUAAAUUAGCCGGGCAUGGUGACGGAUGCCUAUAAUCCCAGCUACUAGGGAGGCUGAGGCAGGAGAAUGGUUGAACCCAGGAGCUGGAGGUUACAGUGAGCUGAGACUAUGUCAUUGUACUCCAGCCUGGGCAACGAGAGCAAAACUCCAUCUGAAAACAAACAAACAAAUAAAUAUAUUAAAAAAAAAAAAAAAAAAAAA